UACAGAGGCCUCGAGCGUUAGGCGGAAUCACUGGGCGUAAAGCGUACGUAGGCGGCUUUGUAAGUUAGAGGUGAAAGCCCGGAGCUCAACUCCGGAACUGCCUUUAAGACUGCAUCGCUAGAAUCCGGGAGAGGUGAGUGGAAUUCCGAGUGUAGAGGUGAAAUUCGUAGAUAUUCGGAAGAACACCAGUGGCGAAGGCGGCUCACUGGACCGGCAUUGACGCUGAGGUACGAAAGCGUGGGGAGCAAACAGG
RNAcentral lists this ribosomal RNA (253 nucleotides) under uncultured bacterium. Its description in RNAcentral is "partial 16S ribosomal RNA". It matches the Rfam family "Bacterial small subunit ribosomal RNA", at positions 524 to 776 of the family's 1533-position model. The record is from RNAcentral.